GCAGACAUAGUUUAACUCAAAACCUUAAGCUGUGGACUUAAAAAUAAAGACUAGCCACCCUUUGCCUGCC
Molecule: transfer RNA, 70 nt
Filed under: Hemidactylus alkiyumii
Lineage: Eukaryota; Metazoa; Chordata; Lepidosauria; Squamata; Gekkonidae
Description: tRNA-His
Source: RNAcentral